RNAcentral lists this ribosomal RNA (274 nucleotides) under uncultured bacterium. RNAcentral describes it as "partial 16S ribosomal RNA". It matches the Rfam family "Bacterial small subunit ribosomal RNA", at positions 523 to 796 of the family's 1533-position model. The record is from RNAcentral.
AUACGGAGGAUCCAAGCGUUAUCCGGAAUCAUUGGGUUUAAAGGGUCCGUAGGCGGGUUUGUAAGUCAGUGGUGAAAGUUUUCGGCUCAACCGGAAAAUUGCCAUUGAUACUGCAAGUCUUGAAUCAUUAUGAAGUGGUUAGAAUGUGUAGUGUAGCGGUGAAAUGCAUAGAUAUUACACAGAAUACCGAUUGCGAAGGCAGAUCAGUAAUAAUGUAUUGACGCUAAGGGACGAAAGCGUGGGUAGCGAACAGGACUAGAUACCCUAGUAGUCC